This 468-nucleotide ribosomal RNA is filed under the name uncultured bacterium. RNAcentral describes it as "partial 16S ribosomal RNA". It matches the Rfam family "Bacterial small subunit ribosomal RNA", at positions 28 to 507 of the family's 1533-position model. The record is from RNAcentral.
GACGAACGCUGGCGGCGUGCUUAACACAUGCAAGUCGAACGGAAAGGCCCUGCUUUUGUGGGGUGCUCGAGUGGCGAACGGGUGAGUAACACGUGAGUAACCUGCCCUUGACUUUGGGAUAACUUCAGGAAACUGGGGCUAAUACCGGAUAGGAGCUCCUGCUGCAUGGUGGGGGUUGGAAAGUUUCGGCGGUUGGGGAUGGACUCGCGGCUUAUCAGCUUGUUGGUGGGGUAGUGGCUUACCAAGGGUUUGACGGGUAGCCGGCCUGGGAGGGUGACCGGCCUCAUUGGUACUGAGAUAGGGACCAGACGCCUACGGGAGGCAGCAGGGGGGAAUAUUGCACAGUGGGCGGAAGCCUGAGGCAGCAACGCCGCGUGCGGGAUGACGGCCUUCGGGUUGUAAACCGCUUUCGCCUGUGACGAAGCGUGAGUGACGGUAAUGGGUAAAGAAGCACCGGCUAACUACGUG